Molecule: long non-coding RNA, 2190 nt
Organism: Carassius gibelio (silver crucian carp)
Lineage: Eukaryota; Metazoa; Chordata; Actinopteri; Cypriniformes; Cyprinidae
Exons: 5
Source: RefSeq, a predicted model, not a curated record
CAUCUCUCCCACCCGAUUCGAACGUUAUCACUCGAUUGAAUGGGGCGUUAUCAGCAGUUAUCAGCCCAUAGAAAUGGGCCAGGAGGGGCCUCCUGUGCCUACUAGUAGGCUCAGAAGGCCGUGAUCAUCCAUCCAAAUGGUUGAUCACCCACAAAUAUACAAGAGAAGACUCCAGAUCCAAUCCCAGAAUUCCUGCUCCCCGGUAAUCGGAAGUCUACUGGACGAAUGCGGGAACGUUGCGAUAUUUCCUGCUUAAUAUUUUCAGAUAUGGGAAAAGCACUUAAGAUGAGCACACGUUUCAGGAACGUUAAAAUUAAGUUGGUGAGGAGGUCUAUGGUGGGCCCUGCAAGUUUUCUUACCUCAGUCAAGGUCUUCCCCAUCCCAGCUACAAUCAGACCCACCCUUCAGACGCUUCUAUUACAUCUCAACCUGCUGAACCUGAUGAUGUGACACCGAGCUGUUCUGAGAGCGCAUACAGUAAGGCAAAGAAGAGAGAGCUUCAUGCCUGGGAUGCAGUCAAGGAUGAGAUGCUUAAGGUGACGUUUGAAUGUUCAGCACCGAUCACUACCCAGUGUGCUGUCUGCCGAGAACAUGCUGAUUAUAGGUGCAUUGAGUGCAGCUCCACUGCAGUGUUCUGUGAGGUUUGCCUGAAGAGGAUUCACAGAAAUUCACUGCAUCUUCCUGAAAAGUGGAAUAGUGUUUACUAUGAGCCAUCCUCCCUGGGGUUAUUCUUAUAUUUACCUGAAGCCCAUGGCACCCAUGCUGUGUACACAAAGGACAUGAAGGUCAUUGUCAGCACAGGACGGCUCUGCACCGUUACAGUCACCAUGUGUGCGUGUGAACCAGAAACCUGUACUCUGCUGAGAUCUGGGCUCUGACCAGCACCAGCCACAAGCCCCAGACAGCCUUCUCCAUCCCUCUGCUAGAGCUUUCUGUUUCUCUGUCACUGGAGUGUCAGGUUUCUGUUGAGGGUUUUUCGCAACACCCCAUAUCCCAUUUUAGGCAUCACCACUUCCGACAAAGAAGUUUGGUUGAUAUUUGCCCACAAUUAAAUGAUGGCACCAUAUGCCCAGCAUGUCCAACGGCGGAUGGAGAUAUGAUUGUCACAUUGGAUGCCAACUUUGGCCUUGUGAGGAAUCAAAGCUCUGGGACAAGUGCAGUUGAUCCAUUACACGGAACCCGCGUGUUUGUUAAUGAAAAGGAUGUAGAGGAAUACCUGCUAUCACAUCUUGACAGCUCAAAGCCUCGAGGUUAAUCAUUGUUGCAGAAUUUCAUUCGAGUCCAUGAAAUAUUAAUUAAACUUGUGAAAAAAGAUCACUAUUCCUCUCAUAAAUCUAUGUUUUCCUUAAAUAUUUAGGACUGCAGUAAGCUGCUCUCAUUCAAGGUAUUAUAAUAUAAUAUAAUAUAAUUACUUUACUGCGUUACUUGUGCAGACAUGUUGUUUUACUAGGUCUGAUCUAUUUUAAAGUUUAGGCACUGUAUUUAAGCAUACAUAUACACCACUAGUCUGUCUGUAUGAGUACAAAAUUACAAAAUAAACUGUAAUUGUUACUGUACAAGCACAGUAAAAUAUUUAUAUAAAAAAUAUUGCACUACUGUUAUUUUGCAUAGAAUACAUUGUUCAACAAUAUUUUUGCACACUCAUCCAACUGCAUUUAUUACCACUGUUCUCACGUUCCUGCUCUUCAUAAUGUUUAUAUAAUCCUUCAUUGCUCUGUUCAUAAUGUACAUACAAUCCCUACAUUGCAUUCAUAUUUAUAUUCUGUAUAUACUCUGAUCAAUAUUGUAUAUAGCAACUCCACUGUACAUUCUGUAUAUCAUAGCUUUACUUACUCUGCACUUUUAUGUAUAUAAAACACUAUAUUCUUGCACUUCUGGUUAGAUGCUAACUGCAUUUCAUUAGCUCUGUACUUGUACUCUGCAUAAUGACAAUAAAGUUGAAUCUAAUCUAAUCUAAAAAAAAAAAAAAAUGUGUUUACCAUAAUGUAAUAUGUUAUUUACUGUAAUGUACAAAUGUGUGGGAGAUGUUUUGUUUUUUGUGAGCUCACCAUCAAAAUCCCCUUCGACUGAGUUGAAAUGAAAAUAAAUUAUUGGAUCUUGAAUCCUCUGAAGCAACUAUGAGUUUGUAAAAACAUAAAAUAAAAGGGAACAUAGAGGUGUAUUGACUCUACGAGUUACAGCCAUGUUUUC